AAGAGAUCGGGAUAACACCUGGAAACAGAUGCUAAUACCGGAUAACAACAGAUGAUGCCUAUCAACUGUUUAAAAGAUGGUUCUGCUAUCACUCUUGGAUGGACCUGCGGGUGCAUUAGCUAGUUGGGUAGGGGUAACGGCCUACCAAGGCGAUGACGCAUAGCCGAGUUGAGAGACUGAUCGGCCACAUUGGGACUGAGACACGGGCCCAAACUCCUACGGGAGGCAGCAGUAGGGGAAUCUUCCACAAAGGACGCAAGUCUGAUGGAGCAACGCCGCGUGAGUGAAGAAGGGUUUCGGCUCGUAAAGCUCUGUUGUUGGUGAAGAAGGACAGGGGGUAGUAACUGACCUUUGUUUGACGGUAAUCAAUUAGAAAGUCACGGCUAACUACGUGCCAGCAGCCGCGGUAAAU
This 412-nucleotide ribosomal RNA is filed under the name uncultured Lactobacillus sp. RNAcentral describes it as "bacterial SSU rRNA". It matches the Rfam family "Bacterial small subunit ribosomal RNA", at positions 132 to 525 of the family's 1533-position model. Lineage: Bacteria; Bacillati; Bacillota; Bacilli; Lactobacillales; Lactobacillaceae. The record is from RNAcentral.